ACUUUCAGUAAAAGACGAAAUAAUUUAAAAAACAGAAGGCCAUAUGUUUUAGUACAGGAGCACAGAAUUCGACUUGUUUCAAACUUUGAGGAUGGAAAUUAGUAAUAUGUUUGCCAUGUAAAUUAAAUUCAAUUAUAAAAAGUAAAGUGAGUUUUGUUUUUAUAGAAGCACAGUCUGAGUUACAAGGACUUGUCCAGAUUUCAGAAUAGAGACAUUCAGUAUUUUUGUACUAUAUUUGGCUCAGGCUAAAAUUAUUUUUGCUCUUCUUGCUUUGCAGGUGGCAAUUACUGUCAUAGGUUCAGGGUGGAUCAGGGUUGUUGAGAAAGCUGUGUGAAAUCUUCCAAAGAAGAAAGCAGUUUCUAUCCAAGCAGGAAUAUCCAACUUAAAAAUAAACACUAAGUGUAGAGACUUUAUUUUUAGGAACAUAAAUUUCCUCUCAGGAACCUCAGCACCCUUUCCUGUAUCCUCAGAGAUUUUAAGCUGUGGAUCCUGCGUUGGUACUUGAGACCCUACACAAGCGUUUGAGCAAGGACUCCUAGAAGUAAGCAAUAUGUUGAAGAGAAGUAAGCAAGGUCAGAAAGUGAACCAUAGGACUCAUGCCCUCUUCAGGGCAAAGAAGAUUGUAGGCUCUUUCUGUUGAGUUUGGACUUGUAUUGGACACCUAGCCCAUGGUUAAUCCCAAAGACUGUAGUGAGUGUGUAAUGCUUUUUUUUUUUGCCCUUUGAUGACAUGUUUUGUAUGCCUUAAUUCUUUGAAUUCUGGGUUGUUUAUAAUUAUUUAUAGAAUGCAGAUGCUACAGCCAAGUUAGAGGUAUUUAAUAGAUGAAGUCUCAGUGCUAAUUUUCUAUGCUUGGAUAGAUAUGCAAGUACAUAUAUAGUAGAUUAAGUGCAGCACUUUCCACUAUUUUGGUAUUUUCUUCAGUGCUUUUUAAGUACUUAAGAUAUUCUUCAAAACAUGAAGUCUGAAACUAAAAGCUCAAUUUAGCAUGAUUUAAAAUAAUAUAAGCAAUUGUAACUUUUCUAUUUGACAGGUAAAUACUGCAAUGGAUUUGGUUCCACACAGAAUGCUGGAAGGAGAAAGAAGUGAAGAAAUAAACCACAUUAAUUUCCUGAGACUUUUUUUCCUGAUGAGCAGCAUGAAAUUAUACUGUAACAUUUUCAUCUAUGUAUGGAAGAUACAAUAUCUUUCUUUAUUCUAAAAACACUGUGGAAAGCUAUAGAAGCAAUAUUCUAUCCUGUCCUGCAGUUUUGAGAAUUACUCUGUCCUAUGUGACAUUGUGACAGUGUUGCAACUAAUCCCAGGUGAUGGGUAGGUGUUGGAGCUUCAUGCAUAUUGCUAUUGGAUCAACUUGGAUCAGUUCCCAUCUGUGACCUUGGACAAGGAAUUUCUGCCUUCGGGGCUUUCCAGAUGUUGUUUUACUGACAAAUUACAUGCUCUGGGAAGCAUGAUGACACCUUCACUAGAGUGAAGAGGGAUAUUGGAACA
Long non-coding RNA from Oenanthe melanoleuca, 1485 nucleotides. RefSeq lists it as uncharacterized. The transcript is spliced from 3 exons. The record is from RefSeq and is a predicted model, not a curated record. NCBI's taxonomy places the organism in Eukaryota, Metazoa, Chordata, Aves, Passeriformes, Muscicapidae.